CAAGCGUUGUUCGGAAUUACUGGGCGUAAAGCGCGCGUAGGCGGCUUUUCAAGUCAGACGUGAAAUCCUUAGGCUUAACCUGAGAACUGCGUUUGAUACUGGAAGGCUUGAAUCCGGGAGAGGGAUGCGGAAUUCCAGGUGUAGCGGUGAAAUGCGUAGAUAUCUGGAGGAACACCGGUGGCGAAGGCGGCAUCCUGGACCAACACUGACGCUGAGUGAGCGAAAGCCAGGGGAGCAAACGGG
This 243-nucleotide ribosomal RNA is filed under the name uncultured bacterium. RNAcentral's name for it is "partial 16S ribosomal RNA". It matches the Rfam family "Bacterial small subunit ribosomal RNA", at positions 535 to 776 of the family's 1533-position model. The record is from RNAcentral.